AAAAAAAAGCACAAAAAUUUAAUUAUUAUGAACUCGAGGGAGUAAUACUUUGCAAGUUUGUUCUACAUGACCAGAUACUACGUUUAUUUUCUGCACUAAAUCAUAUCUGUAGAAAGUAGAACAAGAUUUGCCUAACAUACAACAAAGAAACAGGAGUAUCUUAUUUUUCUGAAACUGGAGAUAUGAGAUGUAUGGCAGCAUCUUUUGGAAGUCACUUAGUUGUCUGCUCAUUUCUUGACAAACCCGACGCCCUUCUGGAUACUUGUUGCUAGCUCUUUCUUUGCCUUCUCAAGCCCAGUCCUCUCGUAUUCAUUUAGGGGACCAAGGGGGAAUAUCUCUUCAACUCCGCUACGCCCAAGCCGUACUUUUGAUGCAAAAAAUGGAAGUUCAGUCACCUGGGAAGACACAAAGGCACAUUGAAUAAUAGCAGCAUCUCCUCUCAAUCCAUGCAAACAUGCAUCAGCAAAUUUAACCGCAGCAUAUGCCAUAGAGAGAGUUGCCGAACCAGCACCAGCUUUUGCCUCAACAACCUCAGUUCCACCAUUUUGUAUACGAGAUGUUAAAUGUUCAGUUUCCGCUGGGGUAAAAGAACAAGGAGGCUUAAUCUGGGAAAGAAGAGGUAGAAUUGUAACACCAGCAUGGCCCCCGACAACUGGAACAUCCACUUCCCUAGGAUCAAGCCCCAAAACUUCAGCCACAAAAGUAUUGGCUCUGACGACAUCAAGCAUUGUGACACCUAAGAGUCUCCUAGGAUCAAAGGUGCCAGCCAUCUUGAAAACCUCUGCAGCAAUUGGUACUGUAGAGUUUACAGGAUUACUAAUUAUAUUGACAAUGGCCUUAGGACAGCACUUUGCAAUUCCUUCACAUAAAGUCUUCACGAUUCCUGCAUUUAUGUUGAAAAGAUCAUCUCUUGUCAUGCCUGGUUUUCUAGGAACACCAGCAGGGAUUAUUACGAGGUCCAUGCCAGUGAGAGCAUCUUCUAAUUGUUGAGGUCCUAGAAAACCACGAACCACAGCACCAGUAUCCAUGUGGCUAAUAUCAGCAGUUACACCAGGGGUAUUUGCAACAUCAUAAAGAUGCAGAACCGAAACCAAAGGAUUCAUCUUCAUAAGCAUUGCAAGUGGCUGACCAAUACCUCCUGCAGCACCCAAGAUCGCAACUUUGAACCCCGGAGAACCCCCUUUCGCCCUGCAAUUAGCUGCACUCAAUCCCUCCAUCUGGUGAGAAGAAGGAGAAGGGUUAAGAUGGGCUGAGAUGGUGGCGAUUCGUUCAGCACUUCGCUGCAUAUUGGAUUUCGUUUGAGAAUGAAA
Molecule: unclassified non-coding RNA, 1310 nt
Filed under: Hevea brasiliensis (rubber tree)
Lineage: Eukaryota; Viridiplantae; Streptophyta; Magnoliopsida; Malpighiales; Euphorbiaceae
Source: RNAcentral